RNAcentral lists this ribosomal RNA (331 nucleotides) under Paenibacillus sp. 79R4. Its description in RNAcentral is "partial 23S ribosomal RNA". It matches the Rfam family "Bacterial large subunit ribosomal RNA", at positions 1111 to 1320 of the family's 2925-position model. The record is from RNAcentral. Lineage: Bacteria; Bacillati; Bacillota; Bacilli; Caryophanales; Paenibacillaceae.
AGCAGCCACCAUUUAAAGAGUGCGUAAUAGCUCACUGGUCGAGUGACUCUGCGCCGAAAAUGUAACGGGGCUAAACACACCACCGAAGCUAUGGCUUGAAUCGACUUCACUGCUUCUUUGAGGCGGUGACCGAGACAAUUUUGCCAAAAGCGACAAAGCGAGUAGUUCAAAGGUUUUGGCCAAAUGCCUCUCGGGGUUAAAGACAUCACUUCGAAGCUGGAGUGAAGUCGAUUCAGGGGUAGGGGAGCGUUGUAUGCGGAUUGAAGUUGGACCGGAAGGACUGGUGGACUGCAUACAAGUGAGAAUGCCGGUAUGAGUAACGAAAAGAUCA